CCUACGGGAGGCAGCAGUAAGGAAUAUUGGUCAAUGGAGGCAACUCUGAACCAGCCAUGCCGCGUGCAGGAUGAAGGCCCUAUGGGUCGUAAACUGCUUUUACACAAGAGAAAACCCGAGUACGUGUACUCGGUUGAUAGUAUUGUGAGAAUAAGCAUCGGCUAACUUCGUGCCAGCAGCCGCGGUAAGACGAAGGAUGCAAGCGUUAUCCGGAUUCAUUGGGUUAAAGGUGCGUAGGCGGACCUGUAAGUCAGUGGUGAAAUCUCUUUGCUUAACAAAGAAACUGCCAUUGAUACUGCAAGUCUAGAGUAUAGAUGACGUUGGCGGAAUAUGACAUGUAGUGGUGAAAUACUUAGAUAUGUCAUAGAACACCGAUUGCGAAGGCAGCUAACGAAACUAUAACUGACGCUGAGGCACGAAAGUNCGGGGAUCAAACAGGAUUAGAUACCCUGGUAGUCCGCACCGUAAACGAUGAUUACUCGUUGUUGGCAAUAUGGACCCUNAGCGACGAAGACGAAAGCGAANAAGUAAUACACCGACGGGAGGUACGACCGGCGACGAGAAACGUAAAGUAAAGUAGACGACGNGAGAGAGACGAGACGACGACGAGGGAGAGG
RNAcentral lists this ribosomal RNA (617 nucleotides) under uncultured bacterium. Its description in RNAcentral is "bacterial SSU rRNA". The stretch from base 1 to 537 matches the Rfam family "Bacterial small subunit ribosomal RNA", at positions 338 to 873 of the family's 1533-position model. The record is from RNAcentral.